CAGCCGCCGCGGGAACACGUAGGUGGCAAGCGUUGCCCGGAAUUAUUGGGCGUAAAGGGCUCGCAGGCGGUUUCUUAAGUCUGAUGUGAAAGCCCCCGGCUCAACCGGGGAGGGUCAUUGGAAACUGGGAAACUUGAGUGCAGAAGAGGAGAGUGGAAUUCCACGUGUAGCGGUGAAAUGCGUAGAGAUGUGGAGGAACACCAGUGGCGAAGGCGACUCUCUGGUCUGUAACUGACGCUGAGGAGCGAAAGCGUGGGGAGCGAACAGGAUUAGAUACCCCCGUAGUCCCUGUCUCUUAUAC
Molecule: ribosomal RNA, 301 nt
Filed under: uncultured bacterium
Lineage: Bacteria
Description: partial 16S ribosomal RNA
Rfam family: Bacterial small subunit ribosomal RNA
Source: RNAcentral